This 477-nucleotide ribosomal RNA is filed under the name uncultured bacterium. RNAcentral describes it as "partial 16S ribosomal RNA". It matches the Rfam family "Bacterial small subunit ribosomal RNA", at positions 30 to 507 of the family's 1533-position model. The record is from RNAcentral.
AUUGAACGCUGGCGGCAUGCCUUACACAUGCAAGUCGAACGGUAACAGGUUAAACUGACGAGUGGCGACCGGGUGAGUAAUGUAUCGGAACGUGCCCAGUCGUGGGGGAUAACUGCUCGAAAGAGCAGCUAAUACCGCAUACGACCUGAGGGUGAAAGCGGGGGAUCGCAAGACCUCGCGCGAUUGGAGCGGCCGAUAUCAGAUUAGGUAGUUGGUGAGGUAAAGGCUCACCAAGCCGACGAUCUGUAGCUGGUCUGAGAGGACGACCAGCCACACUGGGACUGAGACACGGCCCAGACUCCUACGGGAGGCAGCAGUGGGGAAUUUUGGACAAAGGGCGCAAGCCUGAUCCAGCCAUGCCGCGUGCGGGAAGAAGGCCUUCGGGUUGUAAACCGCUUUUGUCAGGGAAGAAAAGGUUCUGGCUAAUACCUGGGACUCAUGACGGUACCUGAAGAAUAAGCACCGGCUAACUACGUG